This 813-nucleotide ribosomal RNA is filed under the name uncultured bacterium. RNAcentral describes it as "bacterial SSU rRNA". It matches the Rfam family "Bacterial small subunit ribosomal RNA", at positions 61 to 834 of the family's 1533-position model. The record is from RNAcentral.
GUCGAGCGAGCUUGCCUAGAUGAUUUUAGUGCGUGCACUAAAUGAAACUAGAUACAAGCGAGCGGCGGACGGGUGAGUAACACGUGGGUAACCUGCCCAAGAGACCGGGAUAACACCUGGAAACAGAUGCUAAUACCGGAUAACAACACUAGACGCAUGUCUAGAGUUUGAAAGAUGGUUCUGCUAUCACUCUUGGAUGGACCUGCGGUGCAUUAGCUAGUUGGUAAGGUAACGGCUUACCAAGGCAAUGAUGCAUAGCCGAGUUGAGAGACUGAUCGGCCACAUUGGGACUGAGACACGGCCCAAACUCCUACGGGAGGCAGCAGUAGGGAAUCUUCCACAAUGGACGAAAGUCUGAUGGAGCAACGCCGCGUGAGUGAAGAAGGGUUUCGGCUCGUAAAGCUCUGUUGGUAGUGAAGAAAGAUAGAGGUAGUAACUGGCCUUUAUUUGACGGUAAUUACUUAGAAAGUCACGGCUAACUACGUGCCAGCAGCCGCGGUAAUACGUAGGUGGCAAGCGUUGUCCGGAUUUAUUGGGCGUAAAGCGAGUGCAGGCGGUUCAAUAAGUCUGAUGUGAAAGCCUUCGGCUCAACCGGAGAAUUGCAUCAGAAACUGUUGAACUUGAGUGCAGAAGAGGAGAGUGGAACUCCAUGUGUAGCGGUGGAAUGCGUAGAUAUAUGGAAGAACACCAGUGGCGAAGGCGGCUCUCUGGUCUGCAACUGACGCUGAGGCUCGAAAGCAUGGGUAGCGAACAGGAUUAGAUACCCUGGUAGUCCAUGCCGUAAACGAUGAGUGCUAAGUGUUGGGAGGUUUC